This 571-nucleotide long non-coding RNA is filed under the name Oryza sativa (Asian cultivated rice). RNAcentral's name for it is "long non-coding RNA (OSAT_LNC000984)". The record is from RNAcentral. Lineage: Eukaryota; Viridiplantae; Streptophyta; Magnoliopsida; Poales; Poaceae.
UCCUUCCGCCCCGUGAACAGGUUGUCCACCACGAUCACGCUGUCGCCGCGCUCCACCAGCCGGUCCACCAGGUGGCUCCCCACGAACCCGGCGCCGCCGGUCACCAGCACCCGGAGCCCCUUCCGCUUCAGCCCCAGCGGCACCUUCCCGCCCACGAACUGCCUCGCCGGCAGCUGCUGCUGCCGCCGGCUCACCGCCGGCUCCACCGAGAACCGCGCCAGCGGGUUCGCCGCGGUUGAACCGGCGGCCGCGGCGGCGGGGGUGGAGGAGGAGUACGGGGUGGCGAGGGAGAAGAUGGCAGCGGCGACGAGCAUCCCGGCGAGGGCGAAGAGCGGGCGGUGCUCGCCGGCGGCGUACCGGGCGGCGCGGGGGAGCCACGCGAGCGGCUUGGACGGCUUCGGGGAGUACCCCCCCGCCGCUACCGCCGCCUCCGCCUCGCCGGCCAGCGUCGCGCCGCCGCCGCCGCGGUAGGUCAGCUCCGACGCCAUCUUUUUUUCUUUUUCUUUUUCCCUCACGACGACGGCGAGGGACCUGGAUGUAAAAUUUCCACAAACCCCCCAAGGCCCUCCCC